GACGAACGCUGGCGGCGUGCUUAACACAUGCAAGUCGAACGGAAAGGCCCUGCUUUUGUGGGGUGCUCGAGUGGCGAACGGGUGAGUAACACGUGAGUAACCUGCCCUUGACUUUGGGAUAACUUCAGGAAACUGGGGCUAAUACCGGAUAGGAGCUCCUGCUGCAUGGUGGUGUUGGAAAGUUUCGGCGGUUGGGGAUGGACUCGCGGCUUAUCAGCUUGUUGGUGGGGUAGUGGCUUACCAAGGCUUUGACGGGUAGCCGGCCUGAGAGGGUGACCGGCCACAUUGGGACUGAGAUACGGCCCAGACUCCUACGGGAGGCAGCAGUGGGGAAUAUUGCACAAUGGGCGGAAGCCUGAUGCAGCAACGCCGCGUGCGGGAUGACGGCCUUCGGGUUGUAAACCGCUUUCGCCUGUGACGAAGCGUGAGUGACGGUAAUGGGUAAAGAAGCACCGGCUAACUACGU
RNAcentral lists this ribosomal RNA (466 nucleotides) under uncultured bacterium. Its description in RNAcentral is "partial 16S ribosomal RNA". It matches the Rfam family "Bacterial small subunit ribosomal RNA", at positions 28 to 506 of the family's 1533-position model. The record is from RNAcentral.